UAAAGAAGGUCACAAUAAUUUUUGGGCACUGCCUAAAAUAACCCAGUGGAUUUGAGAGUUACAGCCAAGGAAGCAAACAGGCAAACUAAAAGCACAGGAACAAUGCAGCAUUCAGGCAUUGUGAGCUGGGAACGCGCGGUGUGCCAGGUCAAGUCAGCAGCCCCAGAGCCGCUCUCAACAGUGUGCCAAGCCUGAUCAGUUUUGACGUCUCCAGUCUCAGAUGUGAACACUCUUGUGCCUCGUUCUUCUUGUUCUUCCUCUAAUCCACAUGAAUGCAUUCUCUAUCCCUGCUGAACAUCUAUUCCCUGACUCAUCUGCUGAGAGACUCCAUUGUCUCCCACCCAUCAGAUCUCCCGACUCCUCAGGGCAUAGAUCCUCAUCUUUCUGCCUAGGAAGCCUGAGCCCGCUUAUUAGGGCCGAAUUUGCCGCCCCCUCCCUGUCUUCCCUCACCACUGUGAUCACACAUCUCCCAUAAUAUACUUUCUGUCAUAUGCUGCUAUGAUUUGCACUGUGGCUGUUGCUCGACUCGAUUGUGACCAUUCAGUGGC
This is a long non-coding RNA of Artibeus jamaicensis (Jamaican fruit-eating bat), 548 nucleotides long. RefSeq lists it as uncharacterized. The record is from RefSeq and is a predicted model, not a curated record. The transcript is spliced from 3 exons. NCBI's taxonomy places the organism in Eukaryota, Metazoa, Chordata, Mammalia, Chiroptera, Phyllostomidae.